AACGAACGCUGGCGGCAUGCCUAACACAUGCAAGUCGAACGAGACCUUCGGGUCUAGUGGCGCACGGGUGCGUAACGCGUGGGAACCUGCCCUUAGGUUAGGAAUAACUCCCCGAAAGGGGUGCUAAUACCGGAUAAUGUCUUCGGACCAAAGAUUUAUCGCCUUUGGAUGGGCCCGCGUUGGAUUAGCUAGUUGGUAGGGUAAAAGCCUACCAAGGCGACGAUGCAUAGCUGGUCUGAGAGGAUGCUCAGCCACACUGGGACUGAGACACGGCCCAGACUCCUACGGGAGGCAGCAGUGGGGAAUAUUGGACAAUGGGCGAAAGCCUGAUCCAGCAAUGCCGCGUGAGUGAUGAAGGCCUUAGGGUUGUAAAGCUCUUUUACCCGGGAUGAUAAUGACAGUACCGGGAGAAUAAGCUCCGGCUAACUCCGUG
Molecule: ribosomal RNA, 433 nt
Filed under: uncultured bacterium
Lineage: Bacteria
Description: partial 16S ribosomal RNA
Rfam family: Bacterial small subunit ribosomal RNA
Source: RNAcentral